CUUCCCAUCCCGCCUGGGGACCGAGCCGCCAGCCGCAGCCAUGACCCCCAGCCUGGCCAUCGCCUUCCUCCUGCUGCUCCCCGCGGGUGUCUAUUCCCAGGUCAGCCUGGUGGAGUCCGGUGGGGGAGUCAGGAAGCCCGGGGAGACCCUCAGACUGACCUGCACCGUGUCCGGAUUCUCCAUCACUAGCUACGGGGUGAACUGGGCCCGCCAGCCAGCGGGGAAGGGGCUGGAAUGGGUCGGUACCAUCUGGGCAGGUGGAAGCACUGAUUAUAAUGACGCUCUCAAAAAUCGCCUCAGCAUCACCAAAGACACUUCCAAGAGCCAAGUGUUCCUGCAACUGACCGGCCUGCAGCCCGCAGACACCUCCGUGUAUUACUGUGCCAAACACACAGUGAGAGGAAACCUAUCCGAGCCCGGCCUAAAACUAGCCGUGCAGAGAACCAGCCUUCCCGUGUGACGCGCCGAGAGCAGCAGCUGCCAGCACCGCGGUCUCUCUGCUUGGUUAGUUUUUUGCUUCAUGCAGAUUCCUCAGCAAGUUACAAGCGCUUGUGAGAUAAACUCCGUAUCACCCGAAAUCUCACAGUGAAUCAGCGACACCGAGCCUGGGAAUAAAACCCAGGAGUCCUGACUCCCAGGGCCCUGCUCUGCCAAUGUGUCUAUCAUUGUGCUAACAAGGGGACGGAAAGACCCCAGGGAUAUUCAUACCUAGACUCACGCUAUAGCAACUAGAUUAUUCUUCCCUCCCACCAUGGCUGGGGAAAUAAACAGGGAGUCUUUACACUGGUGCCCACUGCUGACACUAGAGCCCGGCUGUCAUAUGGGAGCCAGGAACAGAGCCCAGGCCUUCUGUUUCGUGGAGGACAAAGUCUGAGUCGUUGGCUCAAGGGCCUGUGGACAGAAAGAAAAAAGCCACCAACACCCCACUCUGGAGUCUGGCUCUAUGCCUGCAAGGUUGUGAGCGGGCUAAAUCUCUCCCUUCUCAGCCCAUUGAUAAAUCUCUGCCAGGGCUGGCUCUAGGUCUUUGCCGCU
This is a non-coding RNA of Mauremys mutica (yellowpond turtle), 1032 nucleotides long. The record is from the annotation of a RefSeq genome assembly. NCBI's taxonomy places the organism in Eukaryota, Metazoa, Chordata, Testudines, Geoemydidae.